RNAcentral lists this ribosomal RNA (429 nucleotides) under Chloroflexota bacterium. Its description in RNAcentral is "Chloroflexi bacterium partial 16S ribosomal RNA". It matches the Rfam family "Bacterial small subunit ribosomal RNA", at positions 355 to 776 of the family's 1533-position model. The record is from RNAcentral. Lineage: Bacteria; Bacillati; Chloroflexota.
UGGGGAAUAUUGCACAAUGGGCGCAAGCCUGAUGCAGCCAUGCCGCGUGUGUGAAGAAGGCCUUCGGGUUGUAAAGUACUUUCAGCGGGGAGGAAGGGAGUAAAGUUAAUACCUUUGCUCAUUGACGUUACCCGCCGAAGAAGCACCGGCUAACUCCGUGCCAGCAGCCGCGGUAAUACGGAGGGUGCAAGCGUUAAUCGGAAUUACUGGGCGUAAAGCGCACGCAGGCGGUUUGUUAAGUCAGAUGUGAAAUCCUCGGGCUCAACCUGGGAACUGCAUCUGAUACUGGCAAGCUUGAGUCUCGUAGAGGGGGGUAGAAUUCCAGGUGUAGCGGUGAAAUGCGUAGAGAUCUGGAGGAAUACCGGUGGCGAAGGCGGCCCCCUGGACGAAGACUGACGCUCAGGUGCGAAAGCGUGGGGAGCAAACAGG